UUUCUACUCCCUCCGUUCGAAAAUACAAGCCAUCAAAAUGGAUAAAAAGAGAUGUAUCUAAAACUAAAAUAUGUCUAGAUACAUUUCCUUUUAUCUAUUUUGAUGACAAGUAUUUCCGGAUGGAGGGAUUAUUUG
Molecule: non-coding RNA, 135 nt
Organism: Triticum urartu
Lineage: Eukaryota; Viridiplantae; Streptophyta; Magnoliopsida; Poales; Poaceae
Source: Rfam